UACGUAGGGUGCGAGCGUUGUCCGGAAUUAUUGGGCGUAAAGGGCUCGUAGGCGGUCUGUUGCGUCAGGAGUGAAAACUCGGGGCUUAACCCCCGAGCCUGCUUCUGAUACGGGCAGACUAGAGGUAUGCAGGGGAGAACGGAAUUCCUGGUGUAGCGGUGAAAAUGCGCAGAUAUCAGGAGGAACACCGGUGGCGAAGGCGGUUCUCUGGGCAUUACCUGACGUGAGGAGCGAAAGUGUGGGGGAGCGAACAGG
RNAcentral lists this ribosomal RNA (255 nucleotides) under uncultured bacterium. RNAcentral describes it as "partial 16S ribosomal RNA". It matches the Rfam family "Bacterial small subunit ribosomal RNA", at positions 524 to 776 of the family's 1533-position model. The record is from RNAcentral.